Non-coding RNA from Xyrichtys novacula (pearly razorfish), 28698 nucleotides. The record is from the annotation of a GenBank genome assembly. NCBI's taxonomy places the organism in Eukaryota, Metazoa, Chordata, Actinopteri, Labriformes, Labridae.
UGAUGAUAGAAAAAGACCUGGACGAAAGAGAGUUACUACAAAAGCAGAGGAUAAACAUAGCAUUGUCACCAGUAAGAGAGAUCGGCAAAAGACAGCACCACAAAUAAGGGAGGAAAUCAACAUGACAAGGUUGAAACCCAUAUCUCUGACAACUGUGAAAUGACGUUUGAGAAAGGCUGGUCUGAAGGGUUGUGUAUCUGCAAAAAAAACACUCCUUCAUCCAUAGAACAAGAAAAAGAGAUAUGAGUGGGCAAAAGCUCACAAAAAUUGGACUUAUGAUGACUAGAAACAAGUUUGCACUGUUUGGUUCAAAACGCAGAGUCUAUGUCCGCAGACAAACUGGUGAACGUCUGAAAGCAUCAUGUGUUACACCCACAAUUCAGCAUGGAGGUGGUUGUUCCAUAGUAUGGGGAUGUUUUGCAGGUGAUGGAGUAGGAGAUUUGUUUGAAGUAAAGGGUAUCAUGAAGAAGGAACAGUACCACUCCAUCCUCCAGCACCAUGCUGUUCCAUCUGGACUCAGACUUGUGGCUCAUAAGUUUGUUUUGCAGCAAGACAAUGACCCUAAGCACACCAAGCUCUGUCAGGGUUACUUAGACAAAAAAGAAGAGGAAGGUGUUCUUCAAAAGAUGGUUUGGCCCCCUCAGUCUCUAGACCUUUCUCCAAUUGAGCUUGUGCAAGAUGAAUUGGAUCGAUCAGUCAGAAAACGCGUCCCACUAAUCUCUUUUUAAUGAACUUAAGAAAGCUUGGAAUGCAAUCCCUGGAACAUACCUUGAAAAACUUGUGGAACGAAUGCCUGGUAUAUGCCAAGCUGUUGUUAAAGCCAGAGGAGGUUGUGAGGAUUUUGAGUUUAUGCAACAGUUGGGGUUCCUGUGUUCCUUGCCUAUAUGUGUGUUCUCUCUCUCUGCAGCACUGGAGGCACGGCAGGAGGCGGGGCUGGUCCGGACUGAUUGCACGCACCUGAUUCUCGUUGGUGUCAAUUACCUGGCUUUAAUUGCCAAGCUCCUCUGUCGGCUCUGUGCCGGAUGAUUACCCAGUCAUGCAACACGUGUCUUGCCACGCCGAGCUCCCUGUUCUCCCGCCCGUGUAUCCAGCCUACCUCUCAGCGUUUGUUUGUGAGUGCUUUUGUUACUUUCCUGAGAUUUUUUACCUUGAUCAAAGGUGAUUUUGUGUUCGUGUUUUUUCCCUUCAGUUGAGGAGAUUUUGGUGUACAAUUUCUGUUGCACUUUGUCUUUUUAUACUCCCUCAGUUGUUACUUGCCCCACGUGGCACUAUCGUUUGAACUUUGUUUUUCACCAGCGAUUUGCCUUGCUGCCGUGACUUUUUUCUAACUCUAGUUUUGUGUUUUUCAGUGGCAGUCCGAGCCAACCGUGCCUUUUCCCGGAAACAGCGAUUUUCUGUUGUUCACUUUGUUUUAUUGUUUAUUGGCAAUAAAUUUGGGCAUUUGCCUCUGCAUUUUUGGAUCCUGGCCUUUGUUCGAUUCUUAACAGGAGGUUACUUUAAAGAAAGCAAAGUCUAAGCAACAAUGACUCAAAUACAUAAUAAUUAUAAUCAAAAUGCCUUCUGAUAAGUUACUCUUUACACAAUAGUCAUGUUUAUUGUGUUGCAAAUUAUAUAGAUGAAACUAUGAUUUUUUUUUUUUUUUUUGACAAAUCUGAUCUUGCCUACAAACUUUUGGCUUGUAGUGUGUGUGUGUGUGUGUAUGUAUAUAUAUAUAUAUAUAUGUGUGUGUGUGUAUAUAUAUAUAAUUUACUUAGCAUCGAUUGACAAAGUUAUAUUUUAAUUGAGUCUUAUCAUGUAUGUGUUUCUUAUGCUUGAUGGUGUUUUGCAAGAAAAGAUACAUUGGUUUUCUAUCCCUCUCUAACUUUCAAAGAGUUUAUUAAUCCUCAGGUUAUAGAUUUUUAGGAAAACGACUGAUUAAAGUUUACUUUACAUUUAAUGUUAUGGUUUGAUGCAUCUGCUCAUAAGAAACAAUGAAGUAAAACUUGAUCGUAUGUGAUUUGAUGAAGGGCAUUAAUCAUAGUGAGUGAGUAAAUUAGAUCUAACUCGCUUUUUAAUAUCGCAAGUAAAAUUUAAUUUGCUUGCCAGCAGACGGGCCUGCGUUGUGAAAAAAGAGCGCAUGAGUGCCCCCCCAGUUUUGGCUCAUGCCCCACGUGAACGGCUUAAAAGCGCUGAGCUUGCGCUGCUCCCUCUCGUGUUUUUACCCUUUAUUGGUGUUUUUGUCUCCGUCCAUCGUCUUGAUGAAGCCAUACCCAAGUUUCCUUAAAGCAUUAGCUGCACGCAUAGAGUAGCAAAGUCUAGGACUUUAAUUGUGUUUAGUUCACUAAAGUGACUCCUGAAGACAUGGACUGGCCAGUGAAAUUAUUAUCUUAAGUUAUUGAUGCGAAUUAACCUGCAGUAAAGCUAACCCUGAACCGACCAGCAAGCUGCGUUUGCCACCCGGUUCUCAGAGGCAUGACAGCUAAUGUAUCCAAGGGCGCUGUUUGGAGUGCUUAGGGUGGGACAACAGAUCCAGUGCCAGCAAAGAACUCGCCGGGCCCAUGUACUCGAUUUGGUAGCCAGGAACUUCAACAGAUCCACUCCAAGAUUGCCUGCCGUGAACCGGCAUCAAAUAAGUAGGCAAACCCCUCGACACUGCUGUUUCAACUGGGUGAUGUGUAAAGCGUUCAGUAUCUUAUAUUCUUAAUUAUAGUUUAGUUUCUUCAAAUUCCUCUUCAAAAUAUAUCCUCGUAACCCUGUUAACGUAGGUUAAAUUUUUCAUUAUUCACUUACUGUCAUUAACCUCCAGUCUUACAUCAAUUCAAACCAUUUCUUUAUUUAUUGAUCAGGUGUUCUUUUAUUUUCUCAUUAUUUGAUCAUUUAUUUUAAGUUACCUGGGUGAGAAUUUUAUCACCUAGCAUUUGUCAAUAAAUUAUCCAUUUAAUCUUAAAUUGUUGUCUCUUAGUGGUCCUUCCAGAAGCGAAGUCCCUGAAAUGAGUCCCUGAAACUCUCAGAUGUGAGAUUGAUUUAAAUCUGUUUGAGACUAAUUUAACGUUUGGUUACUCAACUGAACUUUGUUUUGUCUUUUACCCAUCAGAAAAAGGUGGGUGGUGCCCCUUCAAUGAGUGUAUAAAUGUCAUAAUUUAAUUAUUAUUUUAGGACAUUUAUUUUAAAUUCAAAUUGCUACACCAGAAAAUGUGUGUGUGAUCUCCAAUUUGUCUGCUAGGCUCCAGCAGAGAUUUGUCUUUGUUUUGUCAAAUUUGGAGUUGAGAAAUGAAGCAGAUAUUCACUUUCCACAUCAAUUUUUUUUGUGGGGCUGCUGGUCAGUUUAUAAGGAGCCCCUAAGGGGUCAUGAAGGAAACAUUUCUCGAGAUUUUUUGCGUGAUCUUGCGAAACAUUUGCAAGCUCUCAUAUUGUUGUCAAAGGUUAUAGGUCAGUGUAUUUCUUCCAUGUCAAGUCCCAAGUGAUGGAACGCAUGCGCACCAGGAAGAAGUUCGCUGCAUCUUUCUUUGAGACUGGCCUUAACAAAAGAUAUUAAAUCAGUUCUGCAAUGCAGGCAGUGUUUUCUUAUUAAGUACGAGUCAUGAAGGACGAGAUCAAGAUGAUGGAGUGAGCAGUCAGAGAAGUUGCGGGACCGAUGAACAAAGUGAUUUUCAUGUCCAGAACACUGAAUCUUGAAGAGAAAGUUACCCGGGUGAGAAUUGAAGACUGGCCGAAUCCGAUAUCUAACUUUGAAAAACUUUGUGAUUGUAAAGACAAUUUAUUUGAGUCGGAAAAAAUGGCUAAUCCUCAGCUAGCUGCUAGUAUCAUGGACCAUGACUACAACUUGUUGGCGCUACAGGAGGCAUGUGGAGAGGAUGAUUUAGAGGAGAUGGAGUUGAUUAUGGGUAAAAAUAAAAAUGACCACACUCUGCUGAAGAGUCCCAAUCCCAAGAAAAUGAAAAAAAGAGAUGAAACAAGACACGUCAGCAUUGAAAAUGUCCUCGAUGCAAUUAGUGCGCUAUCAAAAUGAAUGGAUGAACGGCUGGAUGUACUUACAGACAAGUUUGAAAACUUUGAGAGGCAGAUGCAAGCAAAUGAAAAAGCAAUAAAAGAAAAUAAAGAUGAAAUGGAUAAACUGAAAGUGCAAGUACUGUCACUAAAAAAAGGAAAACAAAGAUCUGAUGGAGAAAUGCCUGAAGAAUUCUCGGUACAGGAAGCGUUGGGAUCUACGGCUUAUUGGUCUGCCAGAGAAAGAAAAUGAGAAUACUCGAGAAGUAGUGAUCGGCAUUCUUACAAGAGUGAUUCCUGUAUCAGUGGAUAAACUCUGAGACACCGUGGAUACUGUCCACAGACUGGGAAAAAAGAAUGAUGCAGCCACCAACAAGAUGCCACAUCCAGUCAUCAUCCAAUUCAGCAUGAGGACAACGUGGGAUGAGGUUUGGAGAAAGUCAAAGGAGGCCAGGGUCUGCAAGGAAAUGAACAUUAGAUUCAAGGAGGACUUUGCGAAAGAAGAUCGCGAGGCUCUGGCGAAGCUUUGGUCAGUAGUGGAGGAGGCACACCGCAAAGGACGAAGAGCCCUCUUAAAGGAGGGGUAUGCUGUCAUUGAUGGCAAAAGAGCUGAGCCAAAACCUUAAAAAUAGAUGCUGGUUAUAAUAUUAGCUGACAAAAUAUUGUUUGAUGCACUUUAAAUAACCCUCAGGGAUUUUCCCAUGUUAUAGGGCCUUAAGUGCACAGACAUUUUGAACUAUGGGGUUCUGUUAACAACAACAACAAUAAUAAUAAUAGAUAAAAAAAAGUGUUCUAGGACAACACGCUCAUUCCUGCUCAUCAUGAUAUUCAUCUUUUUGCGCAUUUAAGGCGUAUCAUUCUUUUAUUUAGUUAUGUCUUUUCUUUUGAAUUCACUAAAUGUUAGAGGUUUAAAAAAUAUAGUUAAACACAAGGCCAUAAUUUUAUUUUGAAAAGAAAGUAAAGCCAAUCUUAUUCUUUUACAAGAGACACGUUCCAACAAGGACUAUGAAACAUUUUGGAAGCAACGAUGGGGGGUAUUACUUUGUUUUCACAUGGUUCUUCUCACUCUGCAGGAGUGAUGAUUUUAUUUUACAAGUUCAAAGGGUCAAUAAUUGAUCAGAAAACUGAUGAAGAUGGUCACUGGGUCAUGGCAGCAAUAGAGUUAUAUGACCUUAAAUUUAUUUUAGUGAAUUUUUAUGUUUACAACAACAGAACUCUUAGGGCUCUAUUUUCAUGUAUGCCGGUGAGGAGGCGGAGGGUGGCGGACCCCACGCAGCUGUAUUUUUGUCUGGCGGAGCCUGGCGUACAGGCAGUUUGGUAUUUUCGUGGACUGAGGCGCACGGUGGCGAACCGAGAUCCGCCAAGCUGGGCGUGGUGGCGUGGCAGGGGGAGGUGUCGACAGAAUCAGUGGGCGCAGUGACAUUUUCAUGCUCGCCAGUGGCGUGUAAAGUGCGCUGAAUGCUUGCCAAUUCAAACCUGGUCAGCUUUCAGCACAGGCGGAGCGCGGCUGGUCUAGUGGUAUUUUGGUAGAUCGGCGGUGUAUCGGCAUAUGUCACCGAUGCCUCACCGGCAGGUUUCCACAGUGUCAGGCACAUUUCAGUGCAAUAAAUAAUCAUCAACAACUAAUAAUCUGAGUCAGCACAUACAUUUAGCUCUAUAUAGAUAUAUUCUGAUCUAUAUCUGAUCUGAUGAGCGUGUUUGGCACGCGUUUGGACACAAAAGCUGACCGAAUUAACACAGCUGAAACCGCAUUAAAUUAAAUUAAAUAUCUAGUAAAUAAACGCACAUGAUGAAGUUAACAAGAUAUUUAAUUUGUCUCCCUGUUUUUCUUUCUUCCUCUUCCUCUCAUUUCUCACGCAGCUCGACCUGGACAUGUCGAGCUUAUGAGUUAUUUACUUUAAGCCUACAUAAGAAUAUUAUAAUACUCAGUUUUGUGGGCAAAAUUUAUUUUAUAUGCCAACAUCUAUGAAAGAAAGAGCCAGGCCAUGGAGCGCGAUGCAUCAUUUACGCGUCCAAGACAAGAGGAGCACUGUGUGGUCCACCUGGUGUGUUUGACAAAGAAAAUGAAAGUAUGGCAAGACAGAGAAAUAAUGCAGCAGCCAAGACUUGCAGGAAAAUUGGAUGACUUCAUUUUAGCUGUAAUGAAUAUCAUCAAGUAAGGACAAAAAAUUGGCUGAGGAACAAGACAGGCUACCGUGGAUAAAACAACAACUGUUGCUCAGAUUUUGGAUAUAGGAAAGCAGCUUUUUUCCAAGAUGGACAUUCAACAAAAGGGCCAGUGGAGGACUUUAACUUUCAUGUCUGUGAUUUCAAAAGAAACCAGAUUCCUUUUGAUGACACAGUUGGCAAACUCUAUGAACGAACCAAACUGAAGCUGCUUAAAUUUUAUAUUUGCACAAAAGAAUCAUCUUCAUCAAAUCAGUCCUCAUCUGAAGUGGAUGGCUGCAGUGACGAUUCCUUGUCUGAAGAGUCAUCUGUCAGUUUUACUGAGAAGAGUCACAGUUAUGUAAACAUGGACCUCAAAGUGAUGCAGAUGUUUUGAUUACAGAUCUAUUGGAUGAUGGACAUUCAUCUGAUUCAGUUUUGGACAAUCCCAGAAAAUGUGUGUGUGAUCUUGUCUGCAAGGCUCCAGCAGAGAUUUGUCUUUGUUUUGUCAAAUUUGGAGAUGAUAAAUGAAUCUUUGAAAAAGCGGAUAUUCACUUUCCAUAUGAAAUUUUUCUAUGUGGGGCUGCUGGUCAGUUUAUGUCCAUUCUUACACGCUUGUUUCCAAAUUUCAUCUUCACUCACAACAUUCAUUUCUAAUUCCCACUUUUCCUUUAUUCCAAGAGAGCCCCCUGUUACAAUUGUCUGUAGUCAUUUAUAUAAAUGUGAUACAUUUUCUUUUUUUACCAUCCAUUUUCUUUAUGAUCUUGAUGAAGAAAAGUUCUAAAUCAGAAGGCUGUAAUGUAAGAGACUGCCAUUCUUUAUGUGAAGUCAGGUAGCUUCUCAACCUGUAGAAAUCUGUGGAUAUCGAACCAUUUUUUUCCUGUAAAUGGUUAAAUGACUUCAAGGUUUUACUAUCAAAUAAGUCAUCAAUAAAAAUAAGGCCCUUAUUUUCCCAGUCUGUAAAUCUUAAAUCAAAAUGUCUAGGUUUGAAAUCUAUUAUUUUGAAAAUUUUCAUUGCCCUAGAUAUAGACUAUGGUGCAUUUUUUUCCCUUACAGUUUUAAACUUUGUGUGUGCACUUUUCUUGUUUUUUGUCCGUAUCUCAUUUGAAUAGGAUGGAAAUACUUGGAGUGAGAUUCUGGGGCAUGAAUUUUGCUCUAAAGAUAGCCAUGUUGUUUCUUUAUUUUGUUUUAAGCAUUCUACUGCCUUGUGUAAUUAUGCGGCCCAGAAAUAUAGUUUCAUUUUUGGUACAAAAGCAGAAUUUUUAAAGCACAUCAUAAGCUGAUCUGGAGAUUUUCCUGCUGCCCCUACAGACUGCAUCAGGUUUGGUCCUGGUCUCUGCUGGCUGGAUCAAUGUUCUUGUUUUUCAGGGAUUGAAGACAGAUUCUGAAAACCAGACAUGCACAGUAACAAGUCAAUUUUCAGGUUGAAGAUGAAACUCCAGUCAUUUGUUGUAUUCUGGAUAAGCUAAGCUGAAGUUCUUGUAUCUUAUUUAGAAAACCUGCAGCAUAUGAGUUUAAAAGUGUAAAUAAUGUUUUCUAAAUUGAUAUAGACUGGCAGAAUGUGAACUUUAGAUUAGGCUGAAUUUGUGUGUUUUUUAAAAGCAGUUAUCCAAAAUAGUAAUCGUAAGUGUUGUCAAAUGUAUCUGUACUUUGACUCCAGUCAAAAGAAGUCACCUCCAUGUUCACAUCGUCUGCAUUUUCACCAGUGUUCACCACAAAGUUUCCCCUGGCCUUCCAUUUGCAGAGGACGAUCAGAAAAACAGCCAACAGCCCAAAAACCAGGAGCACACUGACGACCAGAGGCACGAGGUAAGAUGGCAGAGGGGCUUAGAAGAGAGAGACAAAUCACCUGAUCACAAUUUGAAAUAGAAAUAUGUAUUUUAUCUUGAAUUUCAACUACAGGAUGUGGAAUCUUGACCAACUUAGAAAUAAUGACUUACUUAUGAGCUGUACUGCACCUGUCACUUGGAAGGUGGACUCAAGAUCUCCUGGUGAGAGGGUGGAGCUUGAACUCUUAGUUGUUCUUGUUGUUGUUGGUGGUGGUGGUGUUGGUGGAGGACAUAGAUGUAGUUGUGUGGAGGCUAAUGAGAGAGAUGUCAGAGAGAGUCAGAGUCCAGAUCUUUCAAAGUCUAAAGUAAUAUUAACCAGCACCUGAUUUGGGUCUGAAGUCUGUGAAAGUGGUCUGGGUGGUAGAGCUUUCAGUUAGGAAUCAUCUACCAGUGGAGGUGAAGGGGGGGCAGACACCCUCUCUAGAGUUGUCUUUAAACUUUCUAUUUUGGUAAAGCUUCAAUCUGGUUCAUGCCUGGUUUAGACUGUCGGGGGUACUGGGUAUAUUGAGCACCUUUCCUUCCAUCUCCAUCCUCCUUCUGUCUGUCUGUCUCAUUAACUCUGAAUCAUCAAGUCCCUUUAGAGUCAGUAAUGCAGUCUGUUCUGGGAGUCCCUGAGCUCCAUCAUGCCAAAGGUUCUUCUGAACAGCUGCUGCAGACGUCCUGCUGUUGUGGACCUGGCUGCUUUCCAACUGCUUCAACUACAAGCAUCAGUUUCACCUCCGUCCAUCUCCCUCUCUCCCCUCUGUAAACCCAGCUCAGUCUCAACAGAUGGCUGUCUAACAUGAGUCUGGUUCUGUUUAAGGUUUCUGCCUGUUAAAGGAUAAACAUACCAGUCUUUGAGGAGCUAGUUCAGUGCCUUACUUUGCUGGAGGUCAAAGGUUAGUUUUUUUUUUUCUGCACAUGAAAAGAGUUAAAAUAUGUUUAAUUUAAAAAACAUGUAGAUUCUUUGUCCAAAAUAUGAUCAUUAAAUGUUUAAAAAACACCAUGUGCUCAAAGAUGGCAUACAGUUCAUCUAUUGUAGAGUUCACUCUUGAAGGAGUAAUAUUAAUAGAAGAGGUGUUAUCAAAUGAAGUGACAUAAAAACUCACCUUCUAUGACGAUCAGUGGGAAUGUAUAAUAUGAAUCUGGAGACAGAGCUUUGCCAAAACCACACCUGUACUUUCCUGUGUCAGACUUAGUGGCUUGUUUGAUGGUCAGGUAGAGUUGAUAGUUGGUAUACUCAAGGCCGUAUCUGCCGUUCUGAGUGUUGCUUGCUUCUGUUUCAAUCAGUAUGUCCUCGUCUGUCUUACAUUCACCCUUACAGAAGAACUUCCACUGUCCGUAGACAGAACCAGGGCAUAUACUGCGGAUAUCUUCUCCUUCAAACUCUGUGCGGAUUGCACCAGUAUAUCCUUCCAAUGGUGACUCUGGACAGACAGAUAAUGGUGACACGGUCAAAAGUUCUGCAGUUACAGCAGUUUAAUGAGAUUUUGACUUUGGAUUGUUUAAGCUUUGAGUUCUGCUCAUUGUCUGUCAAAUGAAACUGAUGGUGUAAGUAGGGUGAAACAAAAAUGUACAAUCUGCAGGGUUUACAUACAUACAUACACUACAGGCCGAAAGUUUGGAAGCAAGAUCAUAUUUGUACAAAAAAAGAUCAUAGUUCCAUAUAUAUAAUUUGCAAAACAGUAAACAUGACUUUUGUGUAAAGAGUAACUUAUCAGGAGACAUUUUGACUAUAAUUAUUAGGUAUUUGAGUUAUUGUUGCUUAGACUUUGCUUUCUUUAAAGUAACCUCCUCUGGCUUUAACAACAGCUUGGCAUAUACCAGGCAUUCGUUCCACAAGUUUUUCAAGGUAUGUUCCAGGGAUUGCAUUCCAAGCUUUCUUAAGUUCAUUAAAAAGAGAUUUGUGGUUUUCUGACUGAUCGUUCCAAUUCAUCCCGCACAAGCUCAAUUGGAGAAAGGUCUGGAGACUGAGGGGGCCAAACCAUCUUUUGAAGAACACCUUCCUCUUCUUUUUUGUCUUGGUAACCCUGACAGAGCUUGGCGUGCUUAGGGUCAUUGUCUUGCUGCAAAACGAACUUCUGAGCCACAAGUCUGAGUCCAGAUGGAGCAGCAUGGUGCUGGAAGAUGGAGUGGUACUGUUCCUUCUUCAUGAUACCCUUUACUUCAAACAAAUCUUCUACUCCAUCACCUGCAAAACAUCCCCAUACCAUGGAACUACCACCUCCUUGCUCAAUUGUGGGUGUAACACAUGGUGCUUUCAGACGUUCACCAGUUUGUCUGCGGACAUAGACUCUGCGUUCUGAACCAAACAGUGCAAACUUGUUUCUAGUCAUCAUAAGUCCAUUUUUCGUGAGCUUUGGCCCACUCAUAUCUCUUUUUCUUGUUCUGCGGAUGAAGUAGGGUUUUUUUGCAGAUACACAACUCUUCAGACCAGCCUUUCUCAAACGUCAUUUCACGGUUGUCAGAGAUAUGGGUUUCGACCUUGUCAUGUUAAUUUCCUCCCUUAUUUGUGGUGCUGUCUUUUGCCGAUCUCUCUUACUGGUGACAAUGCUAUGUUUAUCCUCUGCUUUUGUAGUAACUCUCUUUCGUUCAGGUCUUUUUCUAUCAUCAUACCUUCCAGGUUCCUCUAGUCUCUUUAGAGUGUAGUGGACUCCUUUGUUAAACACCUUUAGGCAUUUUGCAAUUUCUCUUUCUGUGUAUCCUUCUUUCCUCAAUGUACAAAUCAGUACUUUUGUGUCUUUACUCAGUUGCUUCUUUCUAGCCAUUUUUGCCGUAGUUUGAAUGCAGUUGAGAUUUAUUAGGAUUUUUGUAUGCAGACUCUAAAAAAUCAAAAAGUUGAAGUGAAUAAUCCAACUGUGAUUUGUUUUUCUGCUUUUGCACUUAAGUUGUGACUCUUGCAAAUGUUUUCAAACCUUAAACUAAGCCCUUAUUAUCUUUUGGUGACAUAUAUUUAGCAAUGGUCUGUUAACAUCAAUGUAUAUGUAGCCCUCUCUCUGUAUCUCGCGCGCGCCUGCCGGCUCUCCAACACCUCCACAGCUAGGCUACUCUGCGUUGUGUCUGCUUAUGUGUGAAAUGGACCUCUGGCGGGGGGUGCAGCGGCAGCCGGUAAGGAGAUGCACACGGACACAGGUGGGUUCGGGAUCGUGGCAAUACCGUUGGUUUAUUCACAACACAGGGGUCUACAAGGUUGAUAUCAGAACUCUCAGUAAACUUCAAAUAGAAAAGUGUAUUACAAUGCUACAUCUCAUUCGAGUUAGCGCUAUUACACUCGUAUUCCAAACGUAGAUUUUACCAAAAAUAUAAAGUAGUUAGCUCAACAAACUACACAGCUAUCAAGUGCUUAAUGUUUCAGUCAUCAAAAUAGCUCAUCAAAACAAACUUAUAACAGCUUAUAUGCUUAAUAUUUCGUACUUUAUCUUCCCAUGAAACUAACGUGACUUACCUACAAGGUUGAUAUCAGAACUCUAAAGGAAAUGCUCAUUACACCCGCGAUAUCAACCCCUACGGUGUGUCAGAGGGACAAAAGGCAAUUCUCAAUGGUAAACUCUUGUUUUAAUGUGCAGCGACACCUAGUGGCGCAACUCAGCAUCUACCUUACACCCACCCCUUCUUUAAGAGAUGGCGUCCCCGCCAUCAGACUCAUUCAAAAGAGACUCAUGAGGUAACUCAAAGAACUUCAAAAAUAAACAAAUAUGUGACAAGUGUGUGUGUGUGUGUAUAAAGUGUGUAGAAAAUGUGUGUGUGGGGGAGCUGACUCAUCUAGGUGUGUGCACUACGUGGCCCUAAAUGUGUCCAGCUGCUCUUCUUGCUUUGGCCCUUUGCCACAACUUUCUUCCUCUCUCUAUCUUCUGCUGGUCACUUUCCACUUCCAUGGCCCGGCACUCUAAAGACAGUUUCAGGGGAGGACGUCGACUCCUUCUCGGCCUUCUCCUUGGAGUGUCAACGCCUCGAGAGGAAGAGGCACCACCACUGGUCACCAGCAUAUCCCCUUGUGUCUCUGUGUCGGUCAGUUCGGUGCUGGGGUGCUCUUCUCCCCCAACUGCUCCAGUCAAAGCUCCAUCUUUCACUUCCUCCAUACUGUCAUCUUCACCCAGAUCAACACCAGUCUCACACGGUUCAUUAUCCAGCUGGCUCUCCUCCAAGACUAGGUUACUUCGAUCCACAGGCAGGAACAUGCACUGGGUAAGGAGGUUUCUGUGCAGCACCCUCUCCGGUCCUCCAUUCUCCGGUCUCACCACAUAAACAGGUACGUUGGGCUGCUUCUUGACAAUGACAUAUGGGCGUGACUCCCAACGGUCUCCCAGUUUCUGUCUCCCCUCCACAUGGCAAACUUUGACUAAGACUCGGUCCCCAGCAGCAAAAUCUUCACUUCUGGCUUUCAGAUCAUAGUACUUUUUCUGCUGCUCUUUAGCAUGCUGAGAUGUUUGGUUAGCCAGGGUAUAAGCCUCCAUCAAAGAAUCAUGCAGAGUCUGGACAUACUCGUGGUAUCCACAGGGCUGAUUUGCGGUGGGGGACCCGAAAAUCAGGUCAAUCGGGAGCCGUGGGUACCUACCAAACAUCAGGUAGUACGGGCUAUACCCGGUGGAGUCGUGUUGUGAGCAGUUAUAUGCAUGUGUCAUGGCAUCCAAGUGUUCGUGCCACCGAGGCUUCAAGUGCGGCUUUAGUGUCCCCAGCAUAUUCAUCAGGGUACGGUUGAACCUCUCGGUGGUCCCAUUCCCCUGAGGAUGGUAGGGCGAUGUGUGUGUUUUAGUAAUGCCGGUACACUUGCACAGCUCUUUCACAAUAGCACUUUCGAAGUUGCGCCCCCUAUCCGAAUGCAGCUUUGCAGGGAAGCCGAAACGACUGAAGUAGUUCCUCCACAAUACUCUUGCCACUGUGCCCGCCUUUUGGUCCCUGGUGGGGUAGGCCUGCGCGUAACGGGAGAAGUGGUCAGUGACAACGAGCACAUUUUCAAUGCCACCUUUGGACUUCUCAAGCGUCAAAUAGUCCAUGCAGACUAACUCCAUGGGGGCACUGGUGUGUAUACUGACUAGGGGAGCUCUGACGUUAGCUGUGGGAGUCUUUCUCAGGCAACAUCGCUCACACUGCUCACACCAGGCUUUAAUCUCUUGAAACAUUCUUGGCCAAUAAAAUCUCUCACGUAUCAUCUGCAAUGUUCUCUCAAAUCCUAAAUGUCCGGAAUCAUCAUGAAGAGCAGUUUUAACAGCUACACGCAGCCUCUGUGGCAGUAUUAGCUGCUCCAACUCUCCUCUAUGGCAGUCACGGACCCGCCGGUAAAUGACACCAUUCUUCACCACUAAUCUCCUCCACUCUUUUAAGAGAAGGCCCCCACUUGCACCCACUUCCACCCUCUCGGUGCGGCUUGGUUUCCGGUUGCGGGACUUGAAGUGCAGGACUGGACCAAUGUCCGGAUCUUCUCUUUGCGCUGCCCGAAUCUCCUGUGUUGUCAUAGCGGGCAGUGCCUCCAUUCCCACGUCUCCAUAGGGUUGACUCGGCUCCAGCAGCUGGCCACUCUCUGGCGCCUCCAUAGAAGCAGCAGUUUCCCCGGAGGACUCCUCCACUUCCUGGGUGCCACGUGUCUCAUUCUGCCCCUGUACAUCAGCUACCACUUGCUGGGGGCAAGUCUGCAGGACUUCACUGACCUCUUGGUUGGACAUGCGUGAAAGGGCGUCGGCGUUAGAGUUGUCUUGGCCCCUCCUAUACUGGAUAUCAAAAUCAAAGAUUGACAGGUGAGAAACCCACCGCUGGCCAGUGGCGUCGAGUUUGGCAGUGCUCAUUACGUACUUCAGAGGGUUGUUGUCCGUUAGCACAGAGAACUUGCGUCCAUAAAGGUGGUCAUGGAAUUUGUCUGUGACCGCCCACUUAAGAGCGAGGAAUUCGAGCUUGUGCGCAGGAUAUCUCGUCUCAGGUGGGGUCAAGCCUCUGCUAGCGUAAGCGACAACUCUCUCUGCUCCACCCUGGAUCUGUGCAAGCACAGCCCCAAGCCCAUCUCUCGACGCGUCAGUCUGCAGCAGGAAGGGCAGGCUGUAAUCUGGAUAGCCCAGGACCGGUGCAUUGGUCAGCUUCUCUUUCAACGCCAGGAAUGCCUCCUCACACUCAGAAGUCCACAGAAAGGUCGGAUCGGGGGCUGGAUUCUUCUGGGCCCCUCUCUUCUUGCUUCUAGGGUCUCCCGAGGUGAGGCGGUACAAGGGUGCAGCUAGACUGGAGUAUGACUUGACGUAGCGUCUAUAGUAGCCAGCAAACCCAAGGAAUUGAAGCACUUCCCUGCGGUCUGUAGGCCUCGGCCAGUCUUUGACACGGCUGAUCUUCUCCGGGUCCGUCCUGAUGCCGUCUGCCGACACCAGAUGACCCAGGUAGUUCACUUCCUUCCUCACGAACUGGCACUUUGACGGCUUAAGCUUCAAGCCAUGCUCUCUAAGCCGAUUGAAGACACACUGCAGUCGGUCUAGGUGUUCACUGAAGGUCGAAGAAAAAAUAAUUAUGUCGUCCAAAUAAAUAAGUAGAUGCGUAAAGUUCAAGUCACCGAAGCAACAGGUCAUUAACCUCUGGAAUGUGGAGGGGGCGUUUUGAAGCCCAAAUGGCAUUCUGUUGGCCUCGAAAAGCCCCAUGGGAGUGCUAAAGGCUGUCUUGUGCUUGUCGUGUUCCGCUACCUCCACUUGCCAAUAACCGGAGGUCAGGUCGAGCGUGGAGAAGUAUUUAGCUUGUCCUAACGACUCUAAGGCCUCCUCAAUUCUUGGUAGAGGAAACGCAUCUCGGGUGCUGCAGGAGUUAAGCUUUCUGUAGUCAAUACAGAGUCUUAAUGACCCAUCUUUCUUGGUCACGACGACCACUGGUGAGGCAUAAGGGCUUUUACUUGGACGGAUGACCCCGGUUGCCUCCAUCUCAGUUAACAUGCGCCGCACGUCUUGCCAUUGGGAUGGGGGUAUCUUACGGUAGGGUAAUCGGAAAGGCCUUGAGUCUACCAGUGGGAUCUCGUGCUGUAUGGUUGUGGUGUGGCCAUAGUCCAGGGAGUGCUGCGAGAACACAUCCGCAUUCUUGUUUAGCAGUGUUUCCAGACUGGUGCGUUGAUCUUCGGUCUCCACUGCCGCGUCACUUAGGUCCACACCACAGCUCGCCACCACUUGUCCCAGGCUGAGGCAUGCCUCCUUGUUCCCAGGCCCCCCCCUCGUUCUCAGGAAACUCCAGAACGCGGUGUAUCAGGACGGCACUGGCCAGGGUUGUGUGGGGCUUAAUAGUUAUGACACGCUGGGACAGGUUCAUCACUCUAACUGGAGCACAUCCUCCCUUUACAUCAACAAGAACUUUGGCAACCAGGAGGUCUUGGGGAAGACGCACCGAGGCCUGGCUCUCAAUCAGGGCAGUGUAGAUCUUUCUCCGAGGACCAUCUUUAAUCUUGCAUCUCAAAUCCAUCUCUUUACCCGCAGGAAUGCGUACUUUACGGCCGGUGUACACAGCAGGACCUACCACAUCAUGCAUUUCACUUUGCUCGGCGCUCCCCACCUUCAGCAGUGCUGUUUACCACUCUGGAUGCUUCUCUUUCACCAGAUGGAGGAACUGCUGGCCAUAUGACGCUUGGAGGUGGCUGCGGGAGGCUCUGAUGACAUUUGUGCCCACUAGAAGGGGGACUGAAGAACGGUAGUCGGAGUCAGGAACUACGAAGGUAGGCACAGCUUUAUGCUCUUUUCCAAGAACUUUCAAGUCAAUAUUCACCACACCGUGGUAGGGCACAGUUUGGCCAGCUGCGCCCUCUAUGGGUACUUUGGAGGGCUUUAGCUUCAGUCUCUGCAAGACAGGGUGGCUCUGCCAGUAGCUGUGUGUGAUGCUGGUUAUCUGGGAGCCAGAGUCAAUGAGAGCCCUACACUGCAUGCCGUUGACUUCAACUUCUCCUUCGUUCCUGGGCCCGACUAGAGGUGUCUCCUCUUUUCCAGUGCUAAUGUCUCUUGUGGGUGGAUGGGGGCCUCGCUGUAUGCCCAUGGUUGCCCCAGCUACCAUGGGCCUUAAGCGUUUAAAGGCUGGUCUGAUUGGGGUGUGGGCCCCACGGCAGGGGCGUUUGGUUGGGGGGUUCCAGCAGGGGCAGGGGCUGGCAGCACUGCUCUACAAAUUCGGGCGGUGUGGCCGAGCUUACCACACCGAUAACAGAUGAAGCUUGUGCUUGGGGCCGCCCUAGCCCGUGGGGGCUGAACUGCUUGGAUGGGGGUAGGGGGUGGUGAAGCUAUUCUCCGCUCAAGGUGGGACAACUUGGCCAUUUGUUCUUCUUGCUUAAGAGCUAGCCUCUUUACAAUCUCAGUCAACUCUGAUAAUUCAGAAGUGGGGUUUACCUUUUCAGGUUUCACAUUUCUAUCUCCCUCUGGUGUAACAUGUACUUGGGUAACAGUCUUUUUCCCUUUGUUUUGAGACUGGAACUUUUUGUUUUCUCUUGCCAGGUUACGGAGCUCAUUCUGCAGCUCUCGAAAACUCAGCAGUCUAGGUGUCAUGGGUGCUAUUCUCAUAUACACCUCUUCAUCGGUGAGCCCUCUCAUGAACUGGCGGGUGAGUUUGCUGUCACGGUCGGGGAAAGGCUUGCCUCCCCUCUGCUUCUCUUCAACAGCACGCAGUUUCGACUCCAGCGCUAUAGCAUAAGAGCAGACGGACUCACCCGGGUUUUGGCUCCGCUCAUAGAAGUCAGCUAAUGGGUCUAAAGACCCUCGUGCGUCGCCAUACUCUGCUCUCAGUUCCUCGAAUGCUUUCUCUGGGCUCUGGUUAUGGAUGGGUAUGUUUAGAAUUAACUUCCGGGCUUCACCGCCAAGGUGCCUCACCACCGUGGAAAAACGCAGGUGCGUGGGGAGUUCAAUCGCUUCCAGGAGAUAUUGCAUGUCACGCACCCAGUCCUCCACUAAAAUCUUGCAGUCUGGAUUACCCGUGAAGACUGGAACAUUUUUCACUUGAUGCGUUUGCAUGAAACCACCAUAGGCUGACACUGGGGGGCUUGCACUGGCUCUAGUUUGAACAGGGGUCUGUGAAUGUGGCGCUUGUGGGUAACUGUACAGGCUAGGCAAUGUUGCAGGAUUGGGGUGAAUAUCAGCAGCAGUAUGCUCAGACAUUACAGGGGGGCUAUAGGGGGUGGUGUUGGGGGCAUACCCAUGAGCAGGGGGUAGGGGCACUGAAUCACUAUGGCUGGAACCCAGAACAGUACUAGAUGUUUCACAGAAAUGCACUUGAGGGGUCCGCCCCAUAGCAGCAGGCUGGUUAGCUGUGCUUGCUGCUAACGGUAUUUGGAAACGUGGCCCAGGCAUUUGGGUUGCAGGGGUGGAGUGUGCAUAGCCUAGGUAUACUGGGGGGCUGGGUCUAACAGACUGGAAAGCAUAGGGGGUGGCUCUGGGGUAGGGCAUGGGGAGCCGGUGAACCGCUGGCCUCUGAGCGCUAACACUGUGUGGGGUGCUUUGUGGAGGCAGGGAGGCUGUGGGUCCAUGCUCGCUGGGGGUGUGAACAGAGGCAUUCGCCGGUGUCUCCGUCGGGCUGCUUGGGUUGGUGACAGGACUGAUGUCAAGGCAGAGCGGGGGUAUCUGUCCUGAAGCCCCGGAGCCCGGCUGUCUGGAUGGACGGACUGGCGUGAUGUACUGAGCCACAUAAGCUGAAUACAUGGAGGAUGGGAAAGCGUGUCGUUGCAAAGGGGGCAUUGAACCACUUGCUUCAGGCCCAGCUGGAGGUAAGAGGCUGGGCGUCACAGUGGAGGGACUUUGCAGCUCAAGUGCUGAAUCAGUGUAAUUCUGUGUCAUCUUGCUAUAUGUUUUAUGUGAAAUGCAAAAUAAAUGUUGCCGUAACAACGCAAUGUGUGUGUCUGAAAUAUGCAAUUACUGUGUGCAAAUAAAGUAUUUCAAUACUGUCUGUGUGUAAUGCAGUGUAAUAUGUCUUUCAGUAUUACCAGAGUAACCAAAAAAUAUCAGCUAUGUCUAAAAACUUAACUUAAUAGGCCAUUAAACUUAAUUACUUAGUCAGUUCACUUAAAUGUUCAACUCAACAAUGUCACUAAAUAUCAGUUAGCUGAAUACACAAGCUUAAAUGAGUCUUGAAACAAACAGAAAAAUAUCCUCGAAUAUCAAAUAGCUUUAAAUAGCUUCAGUUUACCAUUAAUUUCCACUCAAAAUUCAGUUUACCCAUUAGAAAAAUAUUCAAAAUGCAAUAGCAGUAGUAAUUCGUAUUCACAACAGUCUCUAAAGGAUAUAGCUGGGACGGUAACGUUGCUUCAGAACCAUGAAAAAAAAAAAAAGUUGCAAAUGUCCGUCAGCUCCAGGAAAAGUUCACGGUUCAAUGUUCAAUACAAGCCUGGUUGUAGAAUUCCCUCUUCGGUAAGGCAACACCACGAUCCGGGUCACGGCACCAAAGUUGUAGCCCUCUCUCUGUAUCUCGCGCGCGCCUGCCGGCUCUCCAACACCUCCACAGCUAGGCUACUCUGCGUUGUGUCUGCUUAUGUGUGAAAUGGACCUCUGGCGGGGGGUGCAGCGGCAGCCGGUAAGGAGAUGCACACGGACACAGGUGGGUUCGGGAUCGUGGCAAUACCGUUGGUUUAUUCACAACACAGGGGUCUACAAGGUUGAUAUCAGAACUCUCAGUAAACUUCAAAUAGAAAAGUGUAUUACAAUGCUACAUCUCAUUCGAGUUAGCGCUAUUACACUCGUAUUCCAAACGUAGAUUUUACCAAAAAUAUAAAGUAGUUAGCUCAACAAACUACACAGCUAUCAAGUGCUUAAUGUUUCAGUCAUCAAAAUAGCUCAUCAAAACAAACUUAUAACAGCUUAUAUGCUUAAUAUUUCGUACUUUAUCUUCCCAUGAAACUAACGUGACUUACCUACAAGGUUGAUAUCAGAACUCUAAAGGAAAUGCUCAUUACACCCGCGAUAUCAACCCCUACGGUGUGUCAGAGGGACAAAAGGCAAUUCUCAAUGGUAAACUCUUGUUUUAAUGUGCAGCGACACCUAGUGGCGCAACUCAGCAUCUACCUUACAUAUAUCUAAAGGUAAAUGGAGUAAAAUCGUGCCUUUCCAUGAAAGUAACAUCUGAUCACGGAGUAAAUACAUCCCAAAAUACAUAAAACUCAUGCUGGAUUAAAAAAAAAAGCAUUGUGAACAAAAACUUGAAGUUACUCCCAAAUGUUUGGCCUGUAAUGGCCUUGCUUCCAAACUUUUGGCCUGUAGUGUACAUAUAAUGUUGUACAACUCCAUUUUAAAAGAUGUUGGGGAAAUUAUCAAAUGUUGGGAAAGACAGACUUUGCAAAUUGUUAAAUCCCUGUAAUUAAUGAAAUAUUUUCAAAGACAACAAAUCAAAUGUUAGAAAAUGUUUUAAUACUAUGAAAAAUACUCUCUCAUUUAAUUAAGACACCGACAAAACAUCUCAGCUGGGACAGAGACAACAGGGGAACACUGAAGAACUUCUGCAAUAAUGGAAAAUCAGCUCCAAAACAACAGCAGUGGCAACAGGUCAAUAGCGGUGUUAGGGCGCUGAACCACCACUCCCAACAAGGAGAAAGGCAGACUAAAGCUGUAUAAUUUUUUUUUUAAUAAGUCAGAUUUUUUUUAAAAGUGUUUUAUAUUUUUUCACCAACUCAGAAAUAAUCUACAAUAAAAAUGUAGAGUUUGUCUAAAUGUACUGAUCUAUGACUUGUUUGUGGUCCACAGCACAACCUCAGACCCCUGUUAUAAAGUUAUACAUGCGCACUCUCUCCUCUCAAUACAAGCAAUAGGAGCUGCUGAACUGGAACAGCGUGAUUGAUCAGCUGUUGCAAGACCAAGUAUUAAUACUUGUAGUAAUACUGUUCCAAGUAUUUUGGUCAAAUACUGGCCAGCUACAGCCGAUUAAGCCAAAAGGCAGUAUUUUACUGUUGUUAAAACUCUGUGGACUCAGUAGCUUCUGGAAAAUAAGUCAGUGAAUAAUAAAAUAAAUAGUUCAUCACAUUUGGACUCUGGUUCCUUUUCUUUAAACCAGAAUUUUAACAUCAACAGCAGAGCUGCAGAUAUUAACGUGGAUUGAAGAUGUUGGCCAAUCAACAAAACACCAGACCGGGAGCAGGAAUGUUAUCUAGAUUUGAGAGGAGGUUCUAGCAGACUGACAGUUAAACAGGGGGAAAGAUGAGACUUUUAAAAAAACAUUUGAAAAGUACAUUCAACUUUCUAAAUGCAAUAAAGUGCCCUCAGUUUACAUGAUUUAGGAAUAAAUAUUGUUGUGCCUUGUAUAGAAUAUGUCUCUUUCAGUUUUAGCUAAAGGCCCUGAUGGUAUGGGGAUCAUCAGAGUCCAUGUCAUGGGUAUCUUUCACAUCUGUGAACUUGUGAAGGCUUCUACAAUAUCUGCAGGUUUAGGAGCAACAUCUGCUGCCAAAGUGUUAGUAAAAGAAGAGCUGUGGGCACACAAUGAAAAAAAUGACCCUGUAACAACUUCUUGAUAUGUUCCUAUUAUUAAACUUAAAUUGAGCACAUAUUAUUCAGCUUUAAAUGAGCAGGUUGUGCAUUAAAAACAUCUGGUUCAUGUCUUUCUAAAAUAAACAAACAAACAAAAAAACUCACCAUCACAAACUCUGAACUCUAAGUCAGUGGAAGAGUCUGUAACAGAAGAGCUGCCCAAACCACAUCUGUACAGGCCUUCAUCAGACUUUACCCCAUUGAUGAUGUUCACAUUCAGGAUUCCCUCUGUGGAGGAGGUAGGGUCACUUCUGUAACUCAUGCUGUACCUGCCCACCUGACUCUGGACCUCUUCUGUUCUGAUGAGAAUAUCGUCUGCCUCACAUUGGUUCUUACAGAAGAACUUCCAGCUCCCGGAUGAUUGUGUGUAGCAAUUAAUUGAGAUGUUUUGUCCUUUAGUGAAAGUAAAAAUGUAAACUUUUGCGCUGACAAGCCUGUUGUUUCCUCCACCCAGAGCUGUGGAAAAGAUCAAGACCUGAUGAGGAUCUUAUGUUAAAGAAAUGGUAUAAACAGUAAAAGACAGAGGCGACAUACUUUAUAAACAGUGAGAGUAAUUAUCAUGAAAACAAUUAUUAUUACCAGGAAAGGACAACUGAACACUGAGUGAGGCAAAGUCAGCAGGAGGCAUGAACGAAUUGGCUUAAUUUGCUGCUAAUAAACAGGAACAAGAGCAGCACAGAUCACUCUGAAAGCAGUCAAAGUUAGGGGAGGAUCUGUUAGGAUUCAGUUAGCCUUUAUGAAAAGCUGCAGAAUUAAUAUGAGGUUUAAACCAGGAGCCUGAAACAUACCCAAAUUACCCUGUCUUUAUAAGAUAAUUCAUUUAGUUAUAGUAAUGUCAGAGAUCGAAGGCUGCAUAAGAAAAGAUAUGUGUGCAGUCAAAAAAUACCAUGGGUGGUUGGUCCAUGAGCAAAGUCUGAGUUUAGAGCAGUUCAGUUUGAUUUGAUGUGUGCAAACAAAGUUGUUAAAAAUGAUGUCAGAGCAGAAGUAAAAAUAACCUGCUAAAUACUGACCCUGCAAAACAGAGAGAAAAGAACCAAAUAGAUAAAAUUUCUCUCAACUCUAUCAACUUCAACUUCUUCAAAAUUUCUGUCAACUUCACCUACUCUGGAUCUUAAAACAGACUGCAGGCUUAAGAGGCUUCAGAUUCUUGACAUGGCAGAGAUACAGAGGCAGUGAGUAAGUUUUAAAAAGCAGUGUGAGAUACUCAGGUGAUUGGACCUCACCUGAUAAGAAGCAGAAGAUCAGAAGAUGGUGAAUGUCCAUUCUGAGGUUGUCUUAGUGAAGACUGAUCAUAGAACUGCAGGAGGACAGACUGAGUCUCCUCACUCCUCUCUGGCUGAUGACUAGAUAAGUUUUCGUUCCUCAAAUGAUGCUUUCUGUCGGUGUCUGUCUGAUUUGGUGUGCUGAGGAUUAUAACAUACAGUCAUGUCACAUGAGCCUGUAUGUACAUCAGUUUAUGCCAAAAUCACAGAACCAGAAGCAUCUGUAGAAAAUCCAAAGUUUUAAAUCAAACACAGACUUUGCUCUGACCUUUUCAUACAUAACCAUCUAUGUUAACAUUCAGGAUAAGAUCUACCUAACUGGGAUUCUUGUUAACAGCGUUUGGGCUCAUAUCAUGUAAUCGUCUGAAAAUCUGUGGGUUGGGUGACAACCGGGCUGAUAAUUAGGGCCAAGCCGAUGCUUCAAGCAAUGGGUAAGAGCCCUAUUGAAAUUGCAGGAAUUAUGUUAUUAUUAUUACUAAAGGUUUUUCAACUUUAAAACCUCUAGAAAUGUGUAAAAACAAAUAGAAUUUGGCAGGCAGGUUUGGCCUGUCUAAGAUUCAAGUAUUUUACUGCUUCCCUAUACAUUUUUAAUUAAUGGGAUGCAGCUGAGAUUUGUUCAGGACACACCUGAUGGAAUACCAGAGCGACAAAAAAAUCAGCGCCUUGUUUUGUCUAUCUGUGCCUAGGCGGCGCAAUGAAGUGUCUCAAUAUAAAAAAAUAAAAUAAAAUAAAAUGAAAAAAUCUGUAAUAUUGCUAUAGAUAUGUGCAUGGAAUUUGGUACACAGAUCUUGAGGGCUCCAAUGUCAGAAUAGAGAUCCAACCAAAAAAGCUCCAUAGCACGUGAUCGACUUGUCAGGGCUCCCCACAAACAAGCAGCUGCUGGGGGAGAGUGGGUGAGUAAAGAAACCAGGGGAAGCUAAAAAGAUGUUUGAUGGCUAGUGCUAUGGUUGGGACCCUAUAUGUACUGUUGAUGAAGUUAGGUGCUGUUCUGAACAUUAUUUGUGGCUAUAGAGUGGUGCUUUGGUUGAGGUUUGCAUGUGGAGACGUAGACUGCUGUGUAUUACUGUCUUGCAGUCGUUGCUGAAGUUGGUAUAACUAGAGAAGCAAGCAGUCGGCAACAUUCAUCUCUCGAGGGGGUGUCUAACUCAGUGACACAGUGUGUUUGACCCUAACUUAACUUUAUGUCUGAAUAUCCCUUUAAUGGUGAACUGAUGCAUCUUUAACAUACUGUGCAACAGCAGUACAAACUAUCAGACAGCUAACAGGAGAAGAGAGGAGAGCAGGGAGAGGAGAAGGAAGAUGAGCAUGAUUUAAAAGAGGUUUUUAGCUUUCUGAAAUGCUCUGAGGCUAAUGUUAGAUUAUGGUCAAACAUUUAUAAUAACCCUGUUACCAAUAUCAGCCAAAAUUAUAACUUUCCCCCAAGUGCUAAGAUCUGGUAUUCCUUCUGGGGUCAGUGAGGUCAGUCAGAGCAAAAGUGGGAAACAGACUGAGUUUCACUUCCUCUAGCAAUGUACGGAAAAUGAAAAUCUAAAAGAAGACAGUCAUCAAAAACCUGACAUGUGGUGGUGUUCAGAUGAGCUAAAACUGGACCUGCUGUUUCAGAUUCAUGUGUUCAAAAACCUGGAAGAGAAGACGAUUGUCAGAAUGUGCACAUCAGGAUGGAAGACGGACCAUGGCGUAGCAAUUAUAUGUUUUAUUCGGGCACCCCUUUAUCACUUCUCCACAGGUGACAUGAAUUACCCACUCAAGACAGACCUGUAAUCACUUCCCCAGUGGCAAGUCCUCUGUUCUUCCACGAAUCAACCCCCCCUUAGCUUACUAUGACAAUAAAAUCUACUGAUCAAAAUGAAAUGAUGAAUAAAUGUUAUUAACAGGAAAAGAAUUAGGAUGACUAAUAAAUUAACCGGCCAAUCCAAAUAGUUACAGUAUUAAAUCCAGAAUCCCCAACUCAAUUUCCCCCACUCAACUCAAACAUACAACACAACUAAAUAUCUUAGGUUAUUAUCAAGUAAUUUCCAGUGUAAAUAUAAAUGUGUGUGUGUGUGUGUGUGUGUGUGUGUGUGUGUGUGUGUGUGUGUGUGUGUGUGUGUGUGUGUGUGUGUGUGUGUGAGAGUUAAACAGACAGGGCAGCUGGGCUUCCCUUCACAACGAUCUCUUUAAUCAGCGUAUAUUUAUAAGUCAGUGUGUAACCAUACUUUUUGAUUUCUCGUGUGAUCUAUGAUUCUGAUCCACUAUUGUCUCCAACACUAAUGCUAAUAAAAGUGGAUUACUGGCAGUUUAAACCGAAGUAACCCUAUCUUCCUGCUUACUAAAUUUCCAGCUAAAUAAGGGUGGUUCCCACUUAUGCGCUCACAUUUUUUUUAGUUUUUUUACUUUCUCUUUCAUCUGCUUUAUGCUGAAUGGUACAGACUAUGAUGUGAAGUAUAUAGAGGAAGUAGCCUGCCAAUGGUCACACAUACAGAGAGCCUCUUGAAAAAGUUUAUAGUUUAUAUGAAAAACAUCAACAUGACCUGGAUCAAUGAGAACCUACACAGACAUAAAACCACAUUUUUAUCAACCUCUCAAUACAUUUAAGACAAAGCCGUGAUAUAUAACCUGCAAAAUCACACAGCAAAUUCAGUAACAAUACCAAUGUGUGCAAUUCUCCUCCAACAUAAUUAGAUUGCGUAAUAGAUAUGUUGAUUUUUUUUUUUACAUUCCUGCAACAAUGAAAGAAGAUGCAUGACCAUAAAUACAAAGACAACCUGUUGCAACACAGUCCAAACAGUUAAAUUUAACAUGGACUGCAAACAGCAAGAAAAAAAAGAUGCUUCUUAAAAAUAAUGAUAUUGUACACCUGCAGGAAGAGAAAGUCAAACACAGAGUUCUUGAUUAUAAGCAUGAGAGUUUUGAUAUUAAGGCACAGAGUUAGCAGGGAUUGUAAAUGUGGUUAAAUUACAGAAUGUAAAACACAAACAGCUGAACAAAAAGGAAAAAAGAAAAUGAGGGAACAGUAGAUUCAGACUGCUGGGGUUACAGCAGAGCUGAUUGUUAAUUUUUCAUCUGCAGUCUGACAAAAAUAAUCAAACAGAGCAGACAGACCGGGAACUGCAGAAUAGAGCAAUGCAAAAGCCAGUCUGAACUAACUGUGUUAUUAAAAACAGAGGACAGCUCAGUUUAGCAUGCACUAACUAGCAGACAGAGGGGCUUUAUUCAAACUGCUGGCUAAGAAGACUUCAUAUAUACUCAGUCUUUUCAAAAGUCUACAAAUCAACAGCACAGUGACAUCCAAAGUAUCAGACUUAAAGCUUCUGAGCAUCAGAGGACAAAGUGAAAGGUGUUUUUAAGGUGGAUACAUUCAGUUUUACAGUCAGGUAUUAGUGCACAACUUACUGCAAGUUAAACUUUACUGGAAAUAUUGCAAAUAUCCACUCAUUUUGAGUUUGAUGCUUCAACACACUCAUAAAAAGUUGGUUCAGGAUCAACGAAUGUUUAAAAGAAAUUCAGGACUGCUCCGAAAAAACAGAAUAGGUUCAGUGGAAACAGGUGAGGGUCAUGAUGUUGACUGCAGUACUGGUUUCAACCACACAGUUUAACUUGAUAACCAACAAUAAACUCGAGAAGGGCGCUUUGUUAUUAAGUUUAAGAAAGUCAGUGUAACUCUGACAACAGCUGAAGCACACAAGUAAACCCUUCAGAGGAAUUGACUGAUUUCCCUGCUACAAAGCAGAGGUUUGUUUUUUUUAAACAAAUGUGUUUAUUGACGUUUCAAGCUUUACAUAUUCAAACAUACUUACAGAAUUCUUCUUAUUACAAGCUGUAAAUUCUUUUGUUACAUAUCUGAGUAACAUUAACAAAAGGAGAAACAGCAUGAACAGAGAACUCAUCCGCAAGGUGGUUCCAUGUUCUUAUGACGGUGUCAGAGGUCUACAAGUUAAAAUUAAUGAGUGGAUAAAUAAUUAUAAUAUUGAUAGUUAUGUACAAAAAGCACACCCUUUUACUUUAGAGGGUCUAGGCUUGCAGAUGCUGAAUCACCUGGAUGUCCUGUAUGUUAGUCCAAAGUAAGAAAUUAGUGGAUUCCAUUUCUUCUUGAAUAAGGCUAUGUCGAGGUUGCACUUUGCUGUUAUUUUUUCCAUUGUGUAUAUCUUGGUAAGUCACUCUUUCCAUUGGUCUACGGUUGGGGGUAAUGGCUUACACCAGGGCGUAGUUAUCAUGUUUUUUGCCACUAUUAUGAGGAUUUUGAGGAGGUACAUUCUUUCUCUACAUAAAAAGUCAUAGGGAAACUCCCAAAGAAGAUCAGCGGGUCAUUCUUUAUGUUAAUUUGUAAGAUGUUAUAAAGUUCUGCCUGUACAUUUUCAGUUUGGGACAAAAACUGAUCAGGAGAGGCGUUGGGAAUAACUUUCCACACCAAAGUUAUGGCCUUUUACGGCCCCUGGACAGAACCGAGAGGCGCUCUCCCAAAAGGCUGAUAGUGAAUCUUUUACACUUCAAAGAGACAAAGUUGCUGAUCAAAAACCGGACCCCCAGACCGAAUAAACAUUUACCUUCUCACCUUGGCUGGGAUAGCUCAUAGUUGACACCUCAGCCUUAAGGAUGACCCAAAGACCAUGGGAACUCAAACAUUAAGGGUGCAAUUGAGGCACCUAUCCCUGAAACAGAUCCCUGCCAUAAAUUCUCUGAGUGACUUGUUUUUCCUGUGACUCUCUUUCGGUGCAGAAUGAGGAGAAUAACUGCAAAUGGUUUAAUUUCAGGUUUAAUGGACAUUUCACCAGGAUUUUCUAUCUGUACACCACAUCAACAGUGAAACACUCUUUGUCUCAUUUGUCUCGCAUGUCUAGGGAAAUUCAAUUGUCUCUUGUCUCAAGUAAUAUGUCUAUAAAACUUAUCUAUUAUUUACAUAAGAGUUCUAAAGCCUGAUGACUCUUGGUACAAAAGAUCUUCUAAAUCUUUCUGUCCUGCAGUGAAAAGAGGGUCCGUCCACCACCACUGGCCCUUUGGUCCAUCAAGGUGUUGUAAAGUGGGUAAUCCAUGUUCCUUAGAAUAGUCUCCACCUUCCUCAGUGUAGAUCUCACCACCACAUCCUCCACUGAGUCCAGCUUGAGUCCAACCACAGAGGCAGCCUUUUUCACCAGUUUGUUAAGACGUCUUGCAUCUUUGUGUUUAAUGCUUCCUCCCCAGCAGACUGCAGUGUAGAACAGCACACUUGCCACCACAGACUGAUAAGGCAUCUGCAGCGUCUUACUACAGAUGUCUAUUGAUCGGAGUCUUCUCAGGCAAAAAAGGCGGCUCUGCCCCUUUCUGUAGAUGUAGUCUAUAUUCUUAGACCAAUCCAAUUUAUUAUCAGGAUGUACACCUAGGUAUUUAUACGAUGUCACCACUCCGAUGUCCACUCCACAGGUGUUCACUGGCUGAAGAGGGGUUUGGAUCUACGGAAGUCUAUGACCAUCUCCUUUGUCUUUGAGGUGUUGAAGAGGAGGCAGUUUUUGUGACUCCAGCCACUGAAGGCUCUUCAGAAUCAGAAUCGCCUUUAUUGUCAUUGUACACAGUACAACGAAAUUUGAGCGCCACUCCAUUUGGUGCAUAGCAAAAGUAAUAAAUAAGUACUAAAAUGAAAGCCAUAUUAAAACACAAGAUAAUGUAAUAAUAAAAGUAAAGAACAGUAAAACAGCAGUAAUGUAUAUAUAUGUACACUAUAAGAUAUAAACAAACAGGAAUGAAUGAUAUGAAUGAUAUCAAAUCCGAUAAUUGCACAAGUGAAGCCCAGUGUUAUUGCACGGAUAAAGAUACAUUUAUUGCACUUAGAUCAAUGUGAUCAGUAAUAUAUGUUGGUUGAGGGGGACAGGUUCAGCUGGACUUGUUGUUGACUGCAGUGAUAGCUCUUGGGAAGAAGCUAUCCCUGAGUCUGUUGGUCUUUGUUUUGUGUGACCUGUACCUUAGGCCCGACGGUAACAAGUCAACCAGGUGGUUUCCGGGGAGUAUGAGUCCUUAAUGAUGUUCCAGCUCUGCCCAGGUAGCGAGAGUUGGGAAUGUCCUCCAGGCUGGGCAAAGGGCAGCCUGUGAUCUUCUGGGCUGUGCAGAUGACCCUCUGUAGUGCUCUCCUGUUGGCUGCAGAGCACCCCGCAUACCAAGCUGUGAUGCAGUAUGCCAGGAUGCUCUCUAUGGUGCCUUUAUAUAUAUAUAUAUAUAUGUAUGUAUAUAUAUAUAUAUAUAUAUAUAUAUAUAUAUAUAUAUAUAUAUAUAUAUAUAUAUAUACACUACAGGCCAAAACUUUGAGAGCAAGGCCAUUACAGGCCGAACAGUUAGGAGUAACUUCAAGUUUUUGUUCACAAUGCUUUUUUUUUAAAUCCAGCAUGAGUUUUAUGUAUUUUGGGAUGUAUUUACUCCAUGAUCAGAUGUUGCUUUCAUGGAAAUGCACAAUUUUACUCCAUUUACCUUUAGAUAUACAUUGAUGUUAACAGACCAUUGCUAAAUAUAUGUCAGCAAAAGAUAAUAAGGGCUUUGUUUAAGGGUUGAAAACAUUUGCAAGAGUCACAACUUCAGUACAAAAGCAAAAAAACAAAUUACAGUUGGAUUAUUCACUUCAACUUUUUGGCUUUUAAGAGUCUGCAUACAAAAAUCCUGAGAAAUCUCAACUGUGUUCAAGCUACUGCAGAAAAUGGCUGGAAAGAAGCAACUGAGUAAAGAAACAAAAGUACUGAUUUGUACAUUGAGGAAAGAAGGAUACACAGAAAGAGAAAUUGCAAAUUGCCAGAAGGUGUCUAACAAAGGAGUCCACUACACUAAAGAGACUAGAGGAACCUGGAAGUUAUGAUGAUAGAAAAAGACCUGGACGAAAGAGAGUUACUACAAAAGCAGAGGAUAAAAAUAGCAUUGUCACCAGUUAGAGAGAUCGGCGAAAGACAGCACCAAAUAUAAGGGAGGAAAUCAACAUGACAAGGUCGAAACCCAUAUCUCUGACAACUGUGAAAUGACGUUUGAGAAAGGCUGGUCUGAAGGGUUGUGUAUCUGCAAAAAAACACUACUUCGUCCACAGAACAAGAAAAAGAGAUAUGAGUGGGCAAAAGCUCACAAAAAUUGGACUUAUGAUGACCAGAAACAAGUUUGCAC